GAUGAACGCUAGCUACAGGCUUAACACAUGCAAGUCGUGGGGCAUCAUGAUGUAGUAAUACAUUGAUGGCGACCGGCGCACGGGUGAGUAACGCGUAUCCAACCUACCCUCCACUCAAGUAUAGGCUUCCGAAAGGGAGAUUAAUCCUUGAUAUGGUCAUUCUCUCUCCUGUUAGAAUGAUAAAAGGACAUCGUUUCGGUAGAGGAUGGGGAUGCGUUCCAUUAGGUAGUAGGUGGUUUAACAGGCCACCUAGCCGAUGAUGGAUAGGGGUUCUGAGAGGAAUAUCCCCCACACUGGUACUGAGAUACGGACCAGACUCCUACGGGAGGCAGCAGUGAGGAAUAUUGGUCAAUGGGCGCAAGCCUGAACCAGCCAUGUAGCGUGAAGGAUGACAGUUUUUUUGAUUGUAAACUUCUUUUCUGUGCGAUUAAAGUGUGGCAUUUAUGCCAUAUUGCAGUAUCUUCAGGAAUAAAGCA
RNAcentral lists this ribosomal RNA (476 nucleotides) under Bacteroidetes bacterium oral taxon 272. RNAcentral's name for it is "bacterial SSU rRNA". It matches the Rfam family "Bacterial small subunit ribosomal RNA", at positions 28 to 493 of the family's 1533-position model. Lineage: Bacteria; Pseudomonadati; Bacteroidota. The record is from RNAcentral.